Molecule: ribosomal RNA, 375 nt
Filed under: uncultured bacterium
Lineage: Bacteria
Description: bacterial SSU rRNA
Rfam family: Bacterial small subunit ribosomal RNA
Source: RNAcentral
UACGUAGGGAGCGAGCGUUGUCCGGAAUUACUGGGUGUAAAGGGAGCGUAGGCGGGAUUGCAAGUCAGAUGUGAAAACUAUGGGCUUAACCCAUAGACUGCAUUUGAAACUGUAGUUCUUGAGUGAAGUAGAGGUAAGCGGAAUUCCUAGUGUAGCGGUGAAAUGCGUAGAUAUUAGGAGGAACAUCGGUGGCGAAGGCGGCUUACUGGGCUUUUACUGACGCUGAGGCUCGAAAGCGUGGGGAGCAAACAGGAUUAGAUACCCUGGUAGUCCACGCUGUAAACGAUGAUUACUAGGUGUGGGGGGACUGACCCCUUCCGUGCCGCAGUUAACACAAUAAGUAAUCCACCUGGGGAGUACGACCGCAAGGUUGAA